This 1245-nucleotide ribosomal RNA is filed under the name Pseudomonas sp. G1(2016). RNAcentral describes it as "bacterial SSU rRNA". It matches the Rfam family "Bacterial small subunit ribosomal RNA", at positions 140 to 1370 of the family's 1533-position model. Lineage: Bacteria; Pseudomonadati; Pseudomonadota; Gammaproteobacteria; Pseudomonadales; Pseudomonadaceae. The record is from RNAcentral.
GGGACAACGUUUCUAAAGGAACGCUGAUACCGCACACGUCCUACGGGAGAAAGCAGGGGACCUUCGGGCCUUGCGCUAUCUGAUGAGCCUAGGUCGGAUUACCUAGUUGGUGGGGUAAUGGCUCACCGUGGCGACUAUCCGUAGCUGGUCUGAGAGGAUGAUCAGUCACACUGGAACUGAGACACGGUCCAGACUCCUACUGGAGGCACCAGUGGGGAAUAUUGGACAAUGGGCGAAAGCCUGAUCCAGCCAUGCCGCGUGUGUGAAGAACGUCUUCGGAUUGUGAAGCACUUUAAGUUGGGAGGAAGGGCAUUAACCUAAUACGUUGGUGUUUUGACGUUACCUACUGAAUAAGCACCGGCUAACUCUGUGCCAUCACCCGCUGUAAUACAGAGGGUGCAAGCGUUAGUCGCAAUUACUGGGCGUAAAGCGCGCGUAUGUGGUUUGUUAAGUUGGAUGUGAAAGCCCCAGGCUCAACCUGGGAACUGCAUCCUAAACUGGCAAUGCUAGAGUACAGUACAUGGGUGGUGGAAUAUCCUGUGUAACUGUUGAAUGCAGUAGAUGUAUGACGGAACACCUAGUGGACGAACGCGAUCUACCUGGAGCUGAUACUGACGACUGAUGUGCGACAAGCGAUGGGGAGCAAACAGGAUUAGAUACCCUGGUAGUCCACGCCGUAAACGAUGUCAACUAGCCGUUGGAAUCUUGAGAUUUUAGUGGCGCCACCUAACGCAUUAAGUUGACCGCCUGGGGAGUACGGCCGCAAGGUUAAAACUCAAAUGAAUUGACGGGGGCCCGCACAAGCGGUGGAGCAUGUGGUUUAAUUCGAAGCAACGCGAAGAACCUUACCAGGCCUUGACAUGCAGAGAACUUUCCAGAGAUGGAUUGGUGCCUUCGGGAACUCUGACACAGGUGCUGCAUGGCGGUCGUCAGCUCGUGUCUUGAGAUGUUGGGUUAAGUCCCGUAACGAGCGCAACCCUUGUCCUUAGUUACCAGCACGUUAUGGUGGGCACUCUAAGGAGACUGCCGGUGACAAACCGGAGGAAGGUGGGGAUGACGUCAAGUCAUCAUGGCCCUUACGGCCUGGGCUACACACGUGCUACAAUGGUCGGUACAGAGGGUUGCCAAGCCGCGAGGUGGAGCUAAUCUCACAAAACCGAUCGUAGUCCGGAUCGCAGUCUGCAACUCGACUGCGUGAAGUCGGAAUCGCUAGUAAUCGCGAAUCAGAAUGUCGCGGUGAAUACG